Molecule: long non-coding RNA, 4445 nt
Organism: Canis lupus familiaris (dog)
Lineage: Eukaryota; Metazoa; Chordata; Mammalia; Carnivora; Canidae
Exons: 3
Source: RefSeq, a predicted model, not a curated record
UCUCCAGGAUCGCGCCCUAGGCCGAAGGCAGGCGCCAAACCGUUGCGCCACCUAGGGAUCCCAGGGUUAUUAAAUUUUGAUGAAGUCCAAUUCAUUUACUUUUCCUUUUAUUGCCUGUGCUUUGAUGUUAUAUAUAAGAAUCUAUCGCCAAAUCUAAAGUCAUGAAGCUUUUACUCUAUGUUUUCUUCUAUGAGUUGUAUAGUUUCAGCUCUUAAAUAUAUAGGUCACUGAACCACUUUAAUUUUCCUAAGUAAUGGUGCAACUUUGUUCCUUUGCACAUAGAUAUCCAGUUUCUCCAGCACCACUUUUUGAAGACUAUUUUUUUCUGUACUGAACUGUUUUGACACUCUUGUAAAAAAUCAGUGGGACCAUACAUGUGAGAGUUUAUUUCUAGCCUCUGCAUUCUAUCCUAUUGGUCUAUGAAUUUGCCUUUAUGCCAGUACCACAUGGUUGUGAUUACGGUAGCUUUAUGCUGUUUUGAAAUCUGUAAGUUUGGAAGCAUGAGUCUGCCAAAUUUGUUCUUUUUCAAGAUUGGUUUUGUUAUUUGGGGAGUCCCAUUAAAGUCCACAUAAAUUUUAUAGUGAGUUUUUCUAUUUCUGCAAAACGUGCUGAAUGUGUAGACUGCUUUGAGCAAUACUGUAAUCACUGCAUGUGUACUGAAUGCACUACACAUACACAGGAAAAGAUAAUGUGAUGUAUUACAUUAAUUUUUGUAUAUUGAACCAUCUUUGUAUAUUGAAGAUAAAUAUCUUUGUAUACUCCCUUUGUUACUGAAUUUAGUUACUACUAUUUUGCUAAAUAAGAAAAUCUUAAAAUCAAAAAUUCUUAAAAUCAAAUCCUCUGAUGUAGGAUUUUCAGUCCUAAAAAAAUCACUUCCCACCGAGACAACAGAGGUACACUACUGAUUAACAAAAUGGCAGAGGACCAAGUCAAAGAACUCUACAGGAAUAAAAAAAAAAUUUUAAUUUGGUAUUUUUAACCUUAUCAAAAUGAUUUUAUAAGAUAAUUGGGUAUUUUCCAAAGGUAUGGAGAAAUUUUUUACUCAUAAACUUACAAUGUUAAUUACAUACCUGCAUUUACAUGAACUACGAAAAAAAAAAAAGAAUAUCUAAUAAAUGGUUAAACUAUUAGUAUGAUCUUUAAAAUGUAUUUUUGUAAAAUAUAUCAAGUCCCAACUGGGUCAUUUUGUUAUAAAGCAAAAAUCAAACCAUUACCUUAAAUGUUUUGUAAAAAGCAGCAUCCAAAGCUUUCAAAAUUUCCUCAUCAGGACGCCACUUCAGUUUUCCUCUAAGCCCAUGACCUGUUUUAUAAGUUUCUGAUGCAAUUAAAACAUGAAAUGGAUGUAUACGAGCCUAGAAACAAGACAGAGACAGAAAUAAAUGCAAAACAAUCAAAUGAAAAAUAGUCAUUAUGUGUCUUAGAUUUUAUUACUGUAGCUAAUAAAUGUAUUUCCUAAAGAAAAGACAAAAAUGAGGACAUAUUAUCUUACAUUUCAGAGUUAAUUGAAAUUUGGUAUUAUAAAACUCUCAGAACACCUAAAAAUGCACUAGUUACAUUUCCAGAAUUUAGGAGUUAACUUUUUCAAUUAGUAGCAGCUAACAAAUGCUUAGCGUUUUUUAGAUUUUUUUAAAGCUCUUAUUUAUUUGAGAGGGUGAGCAAAAGUACACACACAUGAGUGGGGGGGAAGUGCAGAGGGAGAGGGAGAAGCAGACUCCCUGCUGAGCAGGGGGGAUCCACAGACCCAGAAAUCAUGAAUGGAGUUGAAGGCAGACACUCAACCAACUCAGUCAGCAAAGCACCCUAAUGCUUACCUUUUUUAACAGUUUUUCAUUACAUAGUUUUUCACAUACUAAAGAUACUUCUGAAUUUCCUGGUUCAAGAACUGAAUUAGCAGUCAUUUUUCCUAGGUUCCUUAGUAAUGCAGUAAGAGGCAUUUCUUGUAACAAAGCCUUCCAUACCUAUUGAAGUGAAAACAUAGGUAGAAAUGUAAGGAAUUAAGGGGAAAUGAAUCAGUAUAAUAGCUGUAUCAAUAAUAAUACUAUUAACAUUCUUUAAGACUUUCUUUUGGGGUUUGAAGUAUUUCCUCAAUAAAAAGAUUUGCACAAUGAUCAAAGGCUUAUCAAAUUAACUUGCUCUCUACUAUAGUAGGAAAGUGAAGUGUAUUCUAUGAAGGAACUGCAUAGAAGAAUUUUACUUAUUUUUAAUUAUUAGCAAGGCAAAUUAACUGGCCUAUCUGAAGUAGAAAUAACACUUAACUGAAUGCCAACUACAUCUGGGCAUUGUGUUAAGUACUUUAAAUAAGUAUUAAUUUCAAGAUAUAUUUUACAUUUUUGUUCAAAAGAACUGUAUAUAUAGUUACCGUCUUAUAAACUACAUAUCAUAAAUUACUUUAUAUAUCACACCUUAAAUUUUAAUACUCCUGUUUAAUCACAUGCUAUAUUAUAAUUUACUUACCUCUUUAGACUUUAAAUGAUUUGUUAGAAGAUGUUCCCUAACUAAUCUAUGUUCUUCUAUUAGAUGAAUGACUUCCAGUUCAUCCUUUGUGCGUUUCACUUUCUCUACGGCCUCCAGAUACUUUAAUAAUUUUUCAGUCUCCACAGAAAGUGCUUUUUCUUUAUACAAUUCGUGGACUUCUUUCCAGCCCUUUGUAAUAUAUUUGGUCACAAUAGCAAGUCCUUUAAGAGAAUAAGGAAUUGAAACAGCAUGAGAAUUUCUGGGUGAUAAACAACAUAUAUACUGAGAAUGCAGUAACUAGAUACAGAGGAGCUAAACUCUUUACACUGUGAGGCCGCUUUCUGUGAUAUAACAGACACAUUUAAGCCAACGGAGUCAAAUGAUCUCGCUUAUUUCGUCACAAUUGUUUUAAUACAAGGCUCUGGAGAAAAAUCUCCUAUAUUCUAAGUCAUUUUAUUAUAGAGCUUUUGGUUUUGUUGUUUUGAGACACCAGCAUUAGACAAUACCUAUCUCAGGUCUACAAUCUCAGAAUGAUUCACAAAGUACAGAUCUGUCUCAAUCUUCAAUUCACUUGUUCCUUUUUGCUACUAAACAAGCAUUUAUAAAUAGCAGAGAUAAGUGGAAGUGGACAUGUAGGUAAGUAAUUUGUUGUUUUUAAUAAAUGAGAAAGUAUUACAGGCCAAAUUAAAGAAAGAAACCAAGAUGUUUAUUUCUUUUGUGAUUUCUUUUAAUAGUUGAAAGGGCUUUGGAUUGGGGGACUGAGGAAGUCUGUGUUCUAUCCUACAUUCUACCAAUAAAUGGCUGUGUGACCAUUCCAGGCCUUAAUUUUACCUCUGUAAAAUGGAGAAGAGGAUGUUUGAGUUAUCAUACUCAAAAAGGUCUAUGGGGUAAAUGCUGGUAAAAUAAAUAGGACAAGUCACAUAAUAGAGAGUGGUUAAGAUGAUGGAACUAAAGAGUAUAACCUACUAAUGUUUCAGUGAAGUUCUGGCUUACUGCUGCCAAAGAAAGUAUUUUCAAAAGAAGCCAGAAUAGGUAUUUUUAUGCGAGGUCUUCUGAUUUUUUUAAAGUGAUGUUAGCCAUGAAUUCAUUUUUUUCUAAAAUACUGGCCGAAUAAAUCCAUCUUUAAGGCAGAUUGAGCCUAUGUGAUAUCUCUGGACUCUAAAUAAUUUGAUCAAAAGUCAAUACUAAUAUGUAGGAUCUUCUAAAGUACUUUGACUCUUCCAGAUUUUAGUACAAAAUCUAAUGUUGUCUUAAAUUACUAAAUGUUUCAUAUGUGAGCACAUCUUCUAUUUUGUCUUUCCAGUUAAAUAUAACUUCUUAAAGGCAGUCAUCUUACUCAAGUUCUAUGCUGGCCACAUGAUUUUAGAAAAAGAACUAAGUAUAUGGCAUAGCUGUGAAGAAAUGUUGACAGAUAAGACAGUAACAGAGCAACACAAGGAAUCUUACCCUUCCAUAUGUUAAUGACAACCAUGAAGACAAACAUUCUCAACACUUCUGCAGGAAAAAAUCCUCAGCUUUUCACAUGCUUCUGUGACUCGUCUUUCCAGGAUGCAACAUAGGACAGUGGAACAGAUCACACAAAUGGCCCCUCUCUACUUGUUUGUGCAAAUUUACCAGAAUCAAAUUUUUAAAGUGAAAUAUGAAAAGUGGAAUGGCAGCAGUUCUAAGUAAUCCUCCUUGUCCCUGAGUGCUGAAUUAUAAAUUAGCUUUAAAAUUGGCUGGGUGAUAAGAGAGGGGUAUAAUAAAGAAUAUCUCGUUUUUGUCCAUGUUUCUGGGCAGAGCUUCAAAAAUCCUUGGAAUUUCCAGAUUGAUAGGAGUCUCUUUGUUAUGCUAAUGUGGCAAUUCAUUCUGGGCUUCUGAAUGGGGGCUGGUCACCGGAAAGACUAAUCAUUUGAUUAGAGGGUUGGAAUUUUGGGCCAGAUCAAACUCCCAGGAGGGGUGUUAAGGCUCAAGACUGGGCUCAACCACACAGUCACCCAAUCGUAAUCCAU